Myxocyprinus asiaticus (Chinese sucker) is the source of this 1851-nucleotide long non-coding RNA. RefSeq lists it as uncharacterized. Lineage: Eukaryota; Metazoa; Chordata; Actinopteri; Cypriniformes; Catostomidae. The record is from RefSeq and is a predicted model, not a curated record. The transcript has 3 exons.
CGACGUCACAAAACUGCGCCGCGAUUCGACUGUCUGCUGUUUCAGUUGCAGGUUUGUCUUAAGCAUUUAAUUUGAUAAAAACGAUGCAAACGUUCAAAGUUUCACAGCUUUACAGAUGUGUUCCAAACAAUAUGGUAAUGUUACAAGGAUAAUUUCGCAUUGGUAUGUUAAGUGCUGAUAGUGAUAUGCAUCUCUAUUAAAAAGAGAGUUUUUUUUUUUUUUUAAUGAGUCAUAGAUGGAUCGAAGUGAUCAUAAAGGUGAGAGUAGUGUCAGCCCAUUAUACACUGGAACAAAAUACGUUUUUGUUUAGUCUUUUUUGGCAUGUUUUCCUGAAUAAUAUCUAAAACUCCUUUAAAACAAUGUACAUUUACUUUAGGAGCUAUUCUGCAGGAAACAAAAUUUUUUAUUGGAGAAUGUUGAAAAUAAUAUUUAAUCAGGGCUUGACAUUGUCUGGGACAAAUUUAUGUUUGGAGGGGCAAGUGAAAGAGAAUUUUACUUGCCCAACUGGACAAGCAGACUGAUUAAAAUGUCAAUAAAUAAACAAAUAACCCGCCAUAUUUGUGAUAGCCUAGGCCUGUGUCACUUAUUAGAAAGUUCAUAUUCUUAUUCUGCUGUUGAAGGUAAUCCAGAGCACGUAAUUUUAUAAUUCGCUAGUGAUUUAGUAACAGCUGCACCCUGUUUGAUUGACAGGCAUCGUAUGUGUGUGUGCUGAACAUGCGCGUGUGUUCUGAAAAUGCUUUCUAAUGUGCACCUGAACAGUCAAAUACAUUUCAAAAUUCCGCCAAAAUGCCCGUCUUGGUGAGGUAUUCAUGUAAACACAGAGAGUGAUGUCUAAAGUGAACUAAAAAAGAAAAAAAGUGGAAUUUUAUUAAAAUGUCAGACUUGUAAGUACAAAUGUAAGCUAAUAAACAGACCUGCUGCUGUCUAGUGUGUCAUUAUAAUAAUCAAACAACCAUAACAAGAAAACACUCACUGCCCUUGACUGGGUAACUUUAGUAGCUUCUCGAGACUCGAGAACUGUUGCGACCGGAGCGUUCAGUCUGAUUUGUAGGGCUGCCCCUAAUAGUCAACCAAACGUUAGUCGAUGAGAAGAGUCUUGGUCGACCAAGUUUUGGUUGGUCGCAGAAAAAAAAAAACUCCACAGAAAACUGACGAACACUGGUAUUUCCGCUGUGCAUUAUGGCUAAACAUCUCCACUUUGGUCUUGUCUGUCCAAAGGACAUUGUUCCAGAAGUCUUGUGGUUUGUUCAGGUGCAACUUUGCAAACCUAAGCCGUGUUGCCAUGUUCUUUUUAGAGAGAAGAGGCUUUCUCCUGGCAACCCUUCCAAACAAACCAUACUUGUUCAGUCUUUUUCUAAUUGUACUGUCAUGAACUUUAACAUUUAACAUGCUAACUGAGGCCUGUAGAGUCUGAGAUGUAUGGAGCCCCUAAAGGGACAUUGAAAUUGUCCCUUUUUCAAAUCCUUUGCGUUCUCUCGCAAACCCCGUUAUGUUCUCUCGCGAAAUGUGUGUUAUCGCGAGAGACUUUUGUGCGGUACUUUGCGCCUCAGCAUCACCUGAAUGAUCAUCGCAUUCCUGUCUGGUGGUUCCUGCACUGGUGAAAGAUGUUGUCCAUCUUUCGCGCUCAACGAUGGAGGAGGACCUUCAACAGUUUUUAAGGUCACGACAUGUUCCCGAAGAGGACAUCAUUAACAUGAAAAGGGACAAGAUUGACAAAUCUGUCCUCUGUUAUGACUGAUGAGCAAAUGGCAAAGUAUAUCAGUUCAUAUGGUGACCGACUGGCUGUCCUCUCCUUCUGUCAACAAACAGCAGCCUGGUCUGAUAUAGAAACUCUGUUACAGAAUUUGAGAG